CACAUGCAAGUCGAACGGAAAGGCUCCUGCUUGCAGGGGUACUCGAGUGGCGAACGGGUGAGUAACACGUGGGUGAUCUGCCCUGCACUUCGGGAUAAGCCUGGGAAACAGGGUCUAAUACCGGAUAGGACGAUGGUUUGGAUGCCAUUGUGGAAAGUUUUUCGGUGUGGGAUGAGCUCGCGGCCUAUCAGCUUGUUGGUGGGGUAAUGGCCUACCAAGGCGUCGACGGGUAGCCGGCCUGAGAGGGUGUACGGCCACAUUGGGACUGAGAUACGGCCCAGACUCCUACGGGAGGCAGCAGUGGGGAAUAUUGCACAAUGGGCGCAAGCCUGAUGCAGCGACGCCGCGUGGGGGAUGACGGCCUUCGGGUUGUAAACUCCUUUCGUCAGGGACGAAGCGAAAGUGACGGUACCUGGAUAAGAAGCACCGGCUAACUACGUGCCAGCCGCCGCGGUAA
This 457-nucleotide ribosomal RNA is filed under the name uncultured Actinomycetales bacterium. Its description in RNAcentral is "bacterial SSU rRNA". It matches the Rfam family "Bacterial small subunit ribosomal RNA", at positions 52 to 523 of the family's 1533-position model. Lineage: Bacteria; Bacillati; Actinomycetota; Actinomycetes; Actinomycetales. The record is from RNAcentral.